AUUGAACGCUGGCGGCAGGCCUAACACAUGCAAGUCGAGCGGAUGAAGGGAGCUUGCUCCUGGAUUCAGCGGCGGACGGGUGAGUAAUGCCUAGGAAUCUGCCUGGUAGUGGGGGAUAACGUCCGGAAACGGGCGCUAAUACCGCAUACGUCCUGAGGGAGAAAGUGGGGGAUCUUCGGACCUCACGCUAUCAGAUGAGCCUAGGUCGGAUUAGCUAGUUGGUGGGGUAAAGGCCUACCAAGGCGACGAUCCGUAACUGGUCUGAGAGGAUGAUCAGUCACACUGGAACCGAGACACGGUCCAGACUCCUACGGGAGGCAGCAGUGGGGAAUAUUGGACAAUGGGCGAACGCCUGAUCCAGCCAUGCCGCGUGUGUGAAGAAGGUCUUCGGAUUGUAAAGCACUUUAAGUUGGGAGGAGGGGCAGUAAGUUAAUACCUUGCUGUUUUGACGUUACCAACAGAAUAAGCACCGGCUAACUUCGUG
Molecule: ribosomal RNA, 484 nt
Filed under: uncultured bacterium
Lineage: Bacteria
Description: partial 16S ribosomal RNA
Rfam family: Bacterial small subunit ribosomal RNA
Source: RNAcentral